GCAGUCGAGCGGUAAGGCUCCUUCGGGAGUACACGAGCGGCGAACGGGUGAGUAACACGUGAGCAAUCUGCCCUUCUCAUCGGAAUAACCAUUGGAAACGAUGGCUAAUGCCGAAUACGACCUCCCCUCGCAUGUUGGGAGGUGGAAAGCUCCGGCGGAGAAGGAUGAGCUCGCGGCCUAUCAGCUUGUUGGCGGGGUAACGGCCCACCAAGGCAACGACGGGUAGCCGGCCUGAGAGGGUGACCGGCCACACUGGGACUGAGACACGGCCCAGACUCCUACGGGAGGCAGCAGUGGGGAAUAUUGGACAAUGGGCGAAAGCCUGAUCCAGCAACGCCGCGUGAGGGAUGACGGCCUUCGGGUUGUAAACCUCUUUCAGCAGGGACGAAGCGAAAGUGACGGUACCUGCAGAAGAAGGACCGGCCAACUACGUGCCAGCAGCCGCGGUAAUACGUAGGGUCCGAGCGUUGUCCGGAAUUAUUGGGCGUAAAGGGCUCGUAGGCGGUCUGUCGCGUCGGGAGUGAAAACUCAGGGCUUAACUCUGAGCGGGCUUCCGAUACGGGCAGACUAGAGGGAUGCAGGGGAGAACGGAAUUCCUGGUGUAGCGGUGGAAUGCGCAGAUAUCAGGAGGAACACCGGUGGCGAAGGCGGUUCUCUGGGCAUUACCUGACGCUGAGGAGCGAAAGCAUGGGGAGCGAACA
This 701-nucleotide ribosomal RNA is filed under the name Aeromicrobium sp. Its description in RNAcentral is "bacterial SSU rRNA". It matches the Rfam family "Bacterial small subunit ribosomal RNA", at positions 57 to 774 of the family's 1533-position model. The record is from RNAcentral. Lineage: Bacteria; Bacillati; Actinomycetota; Actinomycetes; Propionibacteriales; Nocardioidaceae.